This 296-nucleotide long non-coding RNA is filed under the name Ananas comosus (pineapple). RNAcentral describes it as "long non-coding RNA (ACOM_LNC018826)". The record is from RNAcentral. Lineage: Eukaryota; Viridiplantae; Streptophyta; Magnoliopsida; Poales; Bromeliaceae.
AUAUUCUAAAUUAUUACACUAAUUUUAUAGCAUUAACAGUUCGAUUAAAUCGGUUUUAAAGUGAUAUGAUAAUGUUUUAAAAAAGCGAAAAAAGUAUUUAUGCUUUUCCGUUCGUGUCGUCUUACAUCAACGUGUCAAAUUCAUAUGGUCAUUUUUCGCUGUAUAUAAUAAGUAUUAUAAAAUGCCACUAAAAAAGUAAAUUUCAAUAUUGUAUUUUAUUAUUGUUUAUGACUUAAAAUAUAAUAUUUCUACUUGCGCAUUUGGUGAUCUAAUUUUUCAGAAAAAUUUAUUAUUGA